AACGGCGAGUGAAGCGGCAAAAGCUCAAAUUUGAAAGCUAGCACCUUCGGUGUUCGCGUUGUAAUUUGAAGAUAGUUUCCUUGAGUAGUCCUUUAUCUAUGUUCCUUGGAACAGGACGUCAUAGAGGGUGAGAACCCCGUAUGAUUUUGGAUACUACUCUUUGUGGGAUUCUAUCGAAGAGUCGAGUUGUUUGGGAAU
This 198-nucleotide ribosomal RNA is filed under the name uncultured Saccharomycopsis. RNAcentral's name for it is "partial 26S ribosomal RNA". It matches the Rfam family "Eukaryotic large subunit ribosomal RNA", at positions 85 to 281 of the family's 3401-position model. Lineage: Eukaryota; Fungi; Ascomycota; Saccharomycetes; Ascoideales; Saccharomycopsidaceae. The record is from RNAcentral.